GACGAACGCUGGCGGCGUGCUUAACACAUGCAAGUCGAACGGAAAGGCCCUGCUUUUGUGGGGUGCUCGAGUGGCGAACGGGUGAGUAACACGUGAGUAACCUGCCCUUGACUUUGGGAUAACUUCAGGAAACUGGGGCUAAUACCGGAUAGGAGCUCCUGCUGCAUGGGGGGGGUUGGAAAGUUUCGGCGGUUGGGGAUGGACUCGCGGCUUAUCAGCUUGUUGGUGGGGUAGUGGCUUACCAAGGCUUUGACGGGUAGCCGGCCUGAGAGGGUGACCGGCCACAUUGGGACUGAGAUACGGCCCAGACUCCUACGGGAGGCAGCAGGGGGGAAUAUUGCACAAUGGGCGGAAGCCUGAUGCAGCAACGCCGCGUGCGGGAUGACGGCCUUCGGGUUGUAAACCGCUUUCGCCUGUGACGAAGCCUGAGUGACGGUAAUGGGUAAAGAAGCACCGGCUAACUACGUG
Molecule: ribosomal RNA, 468 nt
Filed under: uncultured bacterium
Lineage: Bacteria
Description: partial 16S ribosomal RNA
Rfam family: Bacterial small subunit ribosomal RNA
Source: RNAcentral